CUCUGCACAGGACGGAAGGAAAAGCAGGCGUUCUCCACUGUUUAAUGAAGAUUUCUUAGCAACUGCAGCCAUCUCAAGCCUUGGCAGUACCUGGCUCAUCUGAAAUGUUUGUCUAUAAAUUUUUGUAGACUGCUGACCUAAGUGUUAUUAAAAGUUCCUGUACCCAUUAGGUCUGGAAAGCCAAAGAGAAGGUUCAAGAAACAGGGGAUGGAAAACUCUACAAGAUUCACAGUUGAUUGAAUCCACGAAGGAGGAACCCGAGACUACAAAGGGACCCAAGCAUCCGUGGAGUCUGGUAUCUGCAGGGGAUCCUGGAACUGACCCCUACAGUUUUAGUAUAAGUGCUGCCGAAGCGAACUCUACUUUCUCUUCUUAUCCCUGUGAGCUGAGAACAGAGGGACCAUGAGCCCAAGGUCACCAAAAUACACACGGUGACCAUGAGGCUCCCGUCCAGACCUGCCAUUGAAGGGGUGGCUCUUGGAAGAACCCACUCCCCACCCUCUGCUCCUGUUGCUGGUGGAGGUCACUGUGAGCCCCACGAAUGACCUGGAUAUCACACACAUGCACAUGUGCACACACACUCUUCACACUACUGACUGGGGUCACACACAUGCUGACAUGGCUGUGUUUCCAAGCCUCUUCGACCUUUGCAUCCUCCUCAGCAGCCCCUGCCAACUUGUCAUCCUUCAGAGUUCACGUCAGAGGCCUCCUCGUCCGUUCAACCUUCUCUGCUGCCCCCAAGGCUGGAUUGGGCAUCUCUCCUAAGAGCACCCAGACUCCUGCCAUGAGAGUGUCUACACACACCCAGUUGGCUGUACUGGAAUCGGAUGUUCCUGGGUCUUCACUACGUU
Molecule: non-coding RNA, 851 nt
Organism: Odocoileus virginianus texanus
Lineage: Eukaryota; Metazoa; Chordata; Mammalia; Artiodactyla; Cervidae
Source: RefSeq, a predicted model, not a curated record